RNAcentral lists this non-coding RNA (117 nucleotides) under Homo sapiens (human). The record is from Rfam by way of RNAcentral. Lineage: Eukaryota; Metazoa; Chordata; Mammalia; Primates; Hominidae.
GCCGGGCGCGGUGGCUCACGCCUGUAAUCCCAGCACUUUGGGAGGCUGAGGCGGGUGGAUCACUUGAGGUCAGGAGUUUGAGACCAGCCUGGCCAACAUGGUGAAACCCCGCCUCUG